This 292-nucleotide ribosomal RNA is filed under the name uncultured bacterium. RNAcentral describes it as "partial 16S ribosomal RNA". It matches the Rfam family "Bacterial small subunit ribosomal RNA", at positions 541 to 832 of the family's 1533-position model. The record is from RNAcentral.
UUAUCCGGAUUUACUGGGUGUAAAGGGAGCGUAGACGGACUGGCAAGUCUGAUGUGAAAGGCGGGGGCUCAACCCCUGGACUGCAUUGGAAACUGUUAGUCUUGAGUGCCGGAGAGGUAAGCGGAAUUCCUAGUGUAGCGGUGAAAUGCGUAGAUAUUAGGAGGAACACCAGUGGCGAAGGCGGCUUACUGGACGGUAACUGACGUUGAGGCUCGAAAGCGUGGGGAGCAAACAGGAUUAGAUACCCUGGUAGUCCACGCCGUAAACGAUGAUACCUAGGUGUUGGGGACAA